This 927-nucleotide ribosomal RNA is filed under the name Pseudomonas sp. RK-7(2010). RNAcentral's name for it is "bacterial SSU rRNA". It matches the Rfam family "Bacterial small subunit ribosomal RNA", at positions 37 to 959 of the family's 1533-position model. The record is from RNAcentral. Lineage: Bacteria; Pseudomonadati; Pseudomonadota; Gammaproteobacteria; Pseudomonadales; Pseudomonadaceae.
UGGGGGGGGGCCAAACAAUGCAAGUCGAGCGGAUGACGGGAGCUUGCUCCUUGAUUCAGCGGCGGACGGGUGAGUAAUGCCUAGGAAUCUGCCUGGUAGUGGGGGACAACGUUUCGAAAGGAACGCUAAUACCGCAUACGUCCUACGGGAGAAAGCAGGGGACCUUCGGGCCUUGCGCUAUCAGAUGAGCCUAGGUCGGAUUAGCUUGUUGGUGAGGUAAUGGCUCACCAAGGCGACGAUCCGUAACUGGUCUGAGAGGAUGAUCAGUCACACUGGAACUGAGACACGGUCCAGACUCCUACGGGAGGCAGCAGUGGGGAAUAUUGGACAAUGGGCGAAAGCCUGAUCCAGCCAUGCCGCGUGUGUGAAGAAGGUCUUCGGAUUGUAAAGCACUUUAAGUUGGGAGGAAGGGCAGUAAGUUAAUACCUUGCUGUUUUGACGUUACCGACAGAAUAAGCACCGGCUAACUCUGUGCCAGCAGCCGCGGUAAUACAGAGGGUGCAAGCGUUAAUCGGAAUUACUGGGCGUAAAGCGCGCGUAGGUGGUUUGUUAAGUUGGAUGUGAAAGCCCCGGGCUCAACCUGGGAACUGCAUCCAAAACUGGCAAGCUAGAGUACGGUAGAGGGUGGUGGAAUUUCCUGUGUAGCGGUGAAAUGCGUAGAUAUAGGAAGGAACACCAGUGGCGAAGGCGACCACCUGGACUGAUACUGACACUGAGGUGCGAAAGCGUGGGAGCAAACAGGAUUAGAUACCCUGGUAGUCCACGCCGUAAACGAUGUCAACUAGCCGUUGGAAUCCUUGAGAUUUUAGUGGCGCAGCUAACGCAUUAAGGUUGACCGCUGGGGAGUACGGCGCAAGGGUUAAAACUCAAAUGAAUUGACGGGGGCCCCGCCACCAAGCGGUGGAAGCAUGGUUGGGUUUUAAUUUC